AGCGUACACGGUGGAUGCCCUGGCAGUCAGAGGCGAUGAAGGACGUGCUAAUCUGCGAUAAGCGUCGGUAAGGUGAUAUGAACCGUUAUAACCGGCGAUUUCCGAAUGGGGAAACCCAGUGUGUUUCGACACACUAUCAUUAACUGAAUCCAUAGGUUAAUGAGGCGAACCGGGGGAACUGAAACAUCUAAGUACCCCGAGGAAAAGAAAUCAACCGAGAUUCCCCCAGUAGCGGCGAGCGAACGGGGAGCAGCCCAGAGCCUGAAUCAGUGUGUGUGUUAGUGGAAGCGUCUGGAAAGGCGCGCGAUACAGGGUGACAGCCCCGUACACAAAAAUGCACAUAUUGUGAGCUCGAUGAGUAGGGCGGGACACGUGGUAUCCUGUCUGAAUAUGGGGGGACCAUCCUCCAAGGCUAAAUACUCCUGACUGACCGAUAGUGAACCAGUACCGUGAGGGAAAGGCGAAAAGAACCCCGGCGAGGGGAGUGAAAAAGAACCUGAAACCGUGUACGUACAAGCAGUGGGAGCCUCUUUUAUGGGGUGACUGCGUACCUUUUGUAUAAUGGGUCAGCGACUUAUAUUCUGUAGCAAGGUUAACCGAAUAGGGGAGCCGAAGGGAAACCGAGUCUUAACUGGGCGUUAAGUUGCAGGGUAUAGACCCGAAACCCGGUGAUCUAGCCAUGGGCAGGUUGAAGGUUGGGUAACACUAACUGGAGGACCGAACCGACUAAUGUUGAAAAAUUAGCGGAUGACUUGUGGCUGGGGGUGAAAGGCCAAUCAAACCGGGAGAUAGCUGGUUCUCCCCGAAAGCUAUUUAGGUAGCGCCUCGUGAAUUCAUCUCCGGGGGUAGAGCACUGUUUCGGCAAGGGGGUCAUCCCGACUUACCAACCCGAUGCAAACUGCGAAUACCGGAGAAUGUUAUCACGGGAGACACACGGCGGGUGCUAACGUCCGUCGUGAAGAGGGAAACAACCCAGACCGCCAGCUAAGGUCCCAAAGUCAUGGUUAAGUGGGAAACGAUGUGGGAAGGCCCAGACAGCCAGGAUGUUGGCUUAGAAGCAGCCAUCAUUUAAAGAAAGCGUAAUAGCUCACUGGUCGAGUCGGCCUGCGCGGAAGAUGUAACGGGGCUAAACCAUGCACCGAAGCUGCGGCAGCGACGCUUAUGCGUUGUUGGGUAGGGGAGCGUUCUGUAAGCCUGUGAAGGUGUGCUGUGAGGCAUGCUGGAGGUAUCAGAAGUGCGAAUGCUGACAUAAGUAACGAUAAAGCGGGUGAAAAGCCCGCUCGCCGGAAGACCAAGGGUUCCUGUCCAACGUUAAUCGGGGCAGGGUGAGUCGACCCCUAAGGCGAGGCCGAAAGGCGUAGUCGAUGGGAAACAGGUUAAUAUUCCUGUACUUGGUGUUACUGCGAAGGGGGGACGGAGAAGGCUAUGUUGGCCGGGCGACGGUUGUCCCGGUUUAAGCGUGUAGGCUGGUUUUCCAGGCAAAUCCGGAAAAUCAAGGCUGAGGCGUGAUGACGAGGCACUACGGUGCUGAAGCAACAAAUGCCCUGCUUCCAGGAAAAGCCUCUAAGCAUCAGGUAACAUCAAAUCGUACCCCAAACCGACACAGGUGGUCAGGUAGAGAAUACCAAGGCGCUUGAGAGAACUCGGGUGAAGGAACUAGGCAAAAUGGUGCCGUAACUUCGGGAGAAGGCACGCUGAUAUGUAGGUGAAGUCCCUCGCGGAUGGAGCUGAAAUCAGUCGAAGAUACCAGCUGGCUGCAACUGUUUAUUAAAAACACAGCACUGUGCAAACACGAAAGUGGACGUAUACGGUGUGACGCCUGCCCGGUGCCGGAAGGUUAAUUGAUGGGGUUAGCGGUAACGCGAAGCUCUUGAUCGAAGCCCCGGUAAACGGCGGCCGUAACUAUAACGGUCCUAAGGUAGCGAAAUUCCUUGUCGGGUAAGUUCCGACCUGCACGAAUGGCGUAAUGAUGGCCAGG
This 1978-nucleotide ribosomal RNA is filed under the name algae metagenome. Its description in RNAcentral is "bacterial LSU rRNA". It matches the Rfam family "Bacterial large subunit ribosomal RNA", at positions 14 to 2015 of the family's 2925-position model. The record is from RNAcentral.